RNAcentral lists this ribosomal RNA (1881 nucleotides) under Clostridioides difficile. RNAcentral's name for it is "partial 23S ribosomal RNA". It matches the Rfam family "Bacterial large subunit ribosomal RNA", at positions 132 to 2012 of the family's 2925-position model. Lineage: Bacteria; Bacillati; Bacillota; Clostridia; Peptostreptococcales; Peptostreptococcaceae. The record is from RNAcentral.
CAUGAGUUAUGUCAUGUUAUCGACAUGUGAAUUCAUAGCAUGUCAGAAGGCAGACCCGGAGAACUGAAACAUCUUAGUACCCGGAGGAAGAGAAAGAAAAAUCGAUUCCCUGAGUAGCGGCGAGCGAAACGGGAAGAGCCCAAACCAACAAGCUUGCUUGUUGGGGUUGUAGGACACUCUAUACGGAGUUACAAAAGAACAUGUUAGACGAAUCAUCUGGAAAGAUGAAUCAAAGAAGGUAAUAAUCCUGUAGUCGAAAACAUAUUCUCUCUUGAGUGGAUCCUGAGUACGACGGAGCACGUGAAAUUCCGUCGGAAUCUGGGAGGACCAUCUCCUAAGGCUAAAUACUCUCUAGUGACCGAUAGUGAACCAGUACCGUGAGGGAAAGGUGAAAAGUACCCCGGAAGGGGAGUGAAAGAGAACUUGAAACCGUGUGCUUACAAGUAGUCAGAGCCCGUUAAUGGGUGAUGGCGUGCCUUUUGUAGAAUGAACCGGCGAGUUACGAUCUGAUGCAAGGUUAAGCAGCAAAUGUGGAGCCGCAGCGAAAGCGAGUCUGAAUAGGGCGUUGAGUAUUUGGUCGUAGACCCGAAACCAGGUGAUCUACCCUUGGUCAGGUUGAAGUUCAGGUAACACUGAAUGGAGGACCGAACCGACUUACGUUGAAAAGUGAGCGGAUGAACUGAGGGUAGCGGAGAAAUUCCAAUCGAACUUGGAGAUAGCUGGUUCUCUCCGAAAUAGCUUUAGGGCUAGCCUCAAGUGAUGAUUAUUGGAGGUAGAGCACUGUUUGGACGAGGGGCCCCUCUCGGGUUACCGAAUUCAGACAAACUCCGAAUGCCAAUUAAUUUAACUUGGGAGUCAGAACAUGGGUGAUAAGGUCCGUGUUCGAAAGGGAAACAGCCCAGACCACCAGCUAAGGUCCCAAAAUAUAUGUUAAGUGGAAAAGGAUGUGGCGUUGCCCAGACAACUAGGAUGUUGGCUUAGAAGCAGCCAUCAUUUAAAGAGUGCGUAAUAGCUCACUAGUCGAGUGACACUGCGCCGAAAAUGUACCGGGGCUAAACAUAUUACCGAAGCUGUGGAUUGUCCUUUGGACAAUGGUAGGAGAGCGUUCUAAGGGCGUCGAAGCAUGAUCGCAAGGACAUGUGGAGCGCUUAGAAGUGAGAAUGCCGGUGUGAGUAGCGAAAGACGGGUGAGAAUCCCGUCCACCGAUUGACUAAGGUUUCCAGAGGAAGGCUCGUCCGCUCUGGGUUAGUCGGGUCCUAAGCUGAGGCCGACAGGCGUAGGCGAUGGAUAACAGGUUGAUAUUCCUGUACCACCUAGUAUCGUUUUAAUCGAUGGGGGGACGCAGUAGGAUAGGCGAAGCGUGCUGUUGGAGUGCACGUCCAAGCAGUAAGGCUGAGUGUUAGGCAAAUCCGGCACUCAUAAGGCUGAGCUGUGAUGGGGAGAGGAAAUUGUUUCCUCGAGUCGUUGAUUUCACACUGCCGAGAAAAGCCUCUAGAUAGAUAACAGGUGCCCGUACCGCAAACCGACACAGGUAGUCAAGAUGAGAAUUCUAAGGUGAGCGAGCGAACUCUCGUUAAGGAACUCGGCAAAAUGACCCCGUAACUUCGGGAGAAGGGGUGCUCUUUAGGGUUCACGCCCAGAAGAGCCGCAGUGAAUAGGCCCAAGCGACUGUUUAUCAAAAACACAGGUCUCUGCUAAACCGUAAGGUGAUGUAUAGGGGCUGACGCCUGCCCGGUGCUGGAAGGUUAAGAGGAGUGGUUAGCUUCUGCGAAGCUACGAAUCGAAGCCCCAGUAAACGGCGGCCGUAACUAUAACGGUCCUAAGGUAGCGAAAUUCCUUGUCGGGUAAGUUCCGACCCGCACGAAAGGCGUAACGAUUUGG